This is a long non-coding RNA of Oreochromis niloticus (Nile tilapia), 1361 nucleotides long. RefSeq lists it as uncharacterized. NCBI's taxonomy places the organism in Eukaryota, Metazoa, Chordata, Actinopteri, Cichliformes, Cichlidae. The record is from RefSeq and is a predicted model, not a curated record. The transcript has 6 exons.
GCUUCUUCUGGACAACUCUCAGCUCCUGUUUGUCUCCAGAUCUAAAGACUCUCUUCUUCUCCUUGAGGAGAGCCUUAAUUUCAGGAUUUAUCCAUGGCUUGUUGUUAGAAAAACACCGUACCUUUUUGAUGGGUAUGGUGUUGUCCACACAGAAGUUCAUGUAAUCCGUAAUGCAGUCUGUGAUGCUGUUGAGGUCAUCCUCCAGGGGGCUGCAGAGGUUGUCCCACACAGUAGAAUGGAACUGCUGAUACUGGCUGCCAGCUCAGAGCGGUGCCGGAAGUGAUGUUACUACACUUUACACGGACGAAAAUGUGUAACACCACGUCCCCCCUGGCUGCCCUCAAGUGGCUCUGUCCAUUAUCUCACUGUUUGAAUCGGAGUGAAGGACACGGGGAAGCAGGUUCGGACUGGAUUCUGUUAAGGGAAAUGUUCUGACAAACGCUACACCAGAAAAUCAUGGAGGAUUUGGAUGAUUGCAACCUUUCGGUUUUAAAUGGAUGAAACUAAAGAAAAGGCGUCUCAUGGAUAUCUCACCAUGUGAAGAGGGAGAAGAUUAUGAUGCAGAUUCAAGUGGUGGAUCAAACAUGCUUUUGCCACCAAGGAGCAGUUCUGGUGACAACAGUUCCCUGUUCAGGGCACUACCAACUCUCUUCCCAUCAAGAGCUGCACCACCCAAGAAGAUGGGACAUGCCAGUGAAGCACUGAUUCAUGUCCUUCAGAAGAUCCAGCAUCAGCCCUGUUCUGGUCUUUGAAGGGUCCCGCUGUCUUAUUGCAGUUGGAACCACUCCCAUCACCACAUUUGCCACAGAUGACCUUGGAGAAGGUUUGCUGUAUCUUAUGGCAUACUACUACACCCUGCAUCUCACCUAUCCUAAAUGUGUCGCAACGCUUCUGUCUGUCAUUCAGACUGAAGUGUUAAAGGACAAUAUCCAUGAGCAAGACACCACAGGCUCAUACAAAAAAGUCAUGGCAGGCUGUAGAACUUUUUAUUGAGAAGUAGAGCUGUUUGAGCAACAUGUAACUUAGGUCUGUGUUGAAAGGUUUGCACCUGAUAGCUUUGAAGUUGCAAUUUACACUUGAAUUCUUCUUUUUUUGUAUUCUUAUUAACGUAGUACAAAGUGCUUUUUCCUUAAACACAUCUGUUCUGCAAAUUCUGUUUAAAAUUGCAAAUGCUCUUUUUAUUACAUUUUAUAUGUUGAGUAGCUAACUGGUUUAGCAGUUCUAAAAGGAACACAAAAUAACAAUGUUACACUUACAAUGUGUCUUUAAAUUUUUGUGUACUAUGAUUGACUGAAAUAUUUGUUACUGUUUGGAGAGUUUGUUUCCAAUAAAGGUCAUGUACAAGGUAUACUUUGCCUGAC